ACGGGCACCUCGGCGCCGUCGGGGCAGAGCCGUCGGGUUGCGGGGCCCUGUGAGCCGCGAGCCGUCGCUUGCUUUCCGGGACUCCUGCGGCGCGGAGGGGUCGGUGCCGGGUGCACAGUCUCCGUCAGUCACCGUCGAGGCGCGGGGGUCGUGUGAGUGAAAUCGGGAUGCGGGCACAAAACAGGCACCCGGCCCUGGUUGGGACUCGUCGGCCGCCGCUCGGCACCUCUGGCGUCGCAGUUCCUGCCCCGGACCCGGCCCUGGUCCGCGGCUGCGGGCGCCGCCUCGUUCCUGUGAGCUUGCGGGCGACCGAGCUCCGCCGCCCUCCCCACCCCCGACCCGACCCGGGUGGGGCGGCCCUCGCGUUCCCCGGCGGCUCUCCGAGUCCAGCGUGGAGAGUAAAUUCAGUAGAUUCGUCUUGGUUGACAUAAGUCCAGCACAUGCAUUUGGAAUAAAUGAACGAGUUUCCCCUUGGCAUCCAUCCUGAGAUUAAGGUGUGUGCGAUGAAGGUGUCUGACACUCAGAUGGCGCAGUGACCUUGCCACAUGGAUGUGCUACAGUGGUGUAAGCGUAUGUGUGUGCAAACUUUUUAUCCACCGAUGGUACAAAUUUCUUACAGCAUUAAAAACUGGCCCUUCAGAA
Hyaena hyaena (striped hyena) is the source of this 642-nucleotide long non-coding RNA. RefSeq lists it as uncharacterized. Lineage: Eukaryota; Metazoa; Chordata; Mammalia; Carnivora; Hyaenidae. The record is from RefSeq and is a predicted model, not a curated record. The transcript has 2 exons.